GGAUGGCAACGCGUGGAGCGGGCCGGUGCGCGCGACAGGAUCGAUGAGGUAGCAGGACCAUGGACAACGCCGGUCAGCCUCACAACAGGAUGAAGAUGGCAAAUUGGACAAAAGUAGCGAUAUGCUGCUUUACACUAACAGGGAUGGCAAUGGCUAGUGAUGAAAAAAAGCGGAAAGGGGCGUGGCCUAGACGGGACGACCAAUCACAACAAGUAAGACAUCAUGCACGUCCAAUCGCAGGACUGUUUAUAAUCGGAAGAUGGAAAAACUGAUCGGGAGAGCUCGUGAAAACUCAACGAUAAGGUACCUGACCCCCCCCCCCCUAAAAUGUUCUCAACGGAUUUAGAUGAUUCACAAAAAUGAUCAAUUUAA
Hippocampus zosterae (dwarf seahorse) is the source of this 372-nucleotide long non-coding RNA. RefSeq lists it as uncharacterized. The record is from RefSeq and is a predicted model, not a curated record. The transcript is spliced from 2 exons. NCBI's taxonomy places the organism in Eukaryota, Metazoa, Chordata, Actinopteri, Syngnathiformes, Syngnathidae.